AGAUUGAACGCUGGCGGAAUGCCUUACACAUGCAAGUCGAACGGCAGCACGGGAGCAAUCCUGGUGGCGAGUGGCGAACGGGUGAGUAAUACAUCGGAACGUGCCCAAUCGUGGGGGAUAACGUAGCGAAAGCUACGCUAAUACCGCAUACGAUCUACGGAUGAAAGCAGGGGAUCGCAAGACCUUGCGCGAAUGGAGCGGCCGAUGGCAGAUUAGGUAGUUGGUGGGGUAAAGGCUCACCAAGCCUUCGAUCUGUAGCUGGUCUGAGAGGACGACCAGCCACACUGGGACUGAGACACGGCCCAGACUCCUACGGGAGGCAGCAGUGGGGAAUUUUGGACAAUGGGCGCAAGCCUGAUCCAGCCAUUCCGCGUGCAGAUGAAGGCCUUGGUUGUAAACUGUCUUUUGUACGGUAACGAAACGUCCUUUACUCUAAUACAGGAGGUCAUGACGGUAACCGUAAGAAUAAGACACCGGACUAACGUAACGUGCCAGCAA
RNAcentral lists this ribosomal RNA (498 nucleotides) under uncultured soil bacterium. Its description in RNAcentral is "bacterial SSU rRNA". It matches the Rfam family "Bacterial small subunit ribosomal RNA", at positions 26 to 514 of the family's 1533-position model. The record is from RNAcentral.